Molecule: ribosomal RNA, 373 nt
Filed under: uncultured bacterium
Lineage: Bacteria
Description: bacterial SSU rRNA
Rfam family: Bacterial small subunit ribosomal RNA
Source: RNAcentral
UAAUACGGAGGGUGCAAGCGUUAUCCGGAUUUACUGGGUUUAAAGGGAGCGCAGGCGGAUUGGUAAGUCAGUGGUGAAAUCCUCAAGCUUAACUUGGGAAUUGCCGUUGAUACUAUCAAUCUUGAAUGUUGUUGAGGUUUGCGGAAUGGGUCAUGUAGCGGUGAAAUGCAUAGAUAUGACCCGGAACACCUAUUGCGAAGGCAGCAGGCUAAACAAAAAUUGACGCUGAGGCUCGAAAGCGUGGGGAUCAAACAGGAUUAGAUACCCUGGUAGUCCACGCCCUAAACGAUGAUUACUCGACAUACGCGAUAUGACUGUGUGUGUCUGAGCGAAAGCAUUAAGUAAUCCACCUGGGAAGUACGACCGCAAGGUU